This 420-nucleotide ribosomal RNA is filed under the name bacterium. RNAcentral's name for it is "partial 16S ribosomal RNA". It matches the Rfam family "Bacterial small subunit ribosomal RNA", at positions 355 to 776 of the family's 1533-position model. The record is from RNAcentral.
UGGGGGAUAUUGCACAAUGGGCGAAAGCCUGAUGCAGCGACGCCGCGUGGGGGAUGAAGGCUUUCGGGUUGUAAACCUCUUUCGCUAUCGAACAAGGCCCGCUUAGGGUGGGUUGAGGGUAGGUGGAGAAGAAGCGCCGGCUAACUACGUGCCAGCAGCCGCGGUGAUACGUAGGGCGCGAGCGUUGUCCGGAAUUAUUGGGCGUAAAGGGCUUGUAGGCGGCUUGUUGCGCCUGCUGUGAAAACGCGGGGCUUAACUUCGCGCGUGCAGUGGGUACGGGCAGGCUUGAGUGUGGUAGGGGUGACUGGAAUUCCAGGUGUAGCGGUGGAAUGCGCAGAUAUCUGGAGGAACACCGAUGGCGAAGGCAGGUCACUGGGCCAUUACUGACGCUGAGGAGCGAAAGCAUGGGUAGCGAACAGG